This 768-nucleotide ribosomal RNA is filed under the name uncultured bacterium. Its description in RNAcentral is "bacterial SSU rRNA". It matches the Rfam family "Bacterial small subunit ribosomal RNA", at positions 60 to 796 of the family's 1533-position model. The record is from RNAcentral.
AGUCGAACGAAAGAGGGAAAGAGCUUGCUCUUUCCGGAAUUGAGUGGCAAACGGGUGAGUAACACGUAAACAACCUGCCUUCAGGAUGGGGACAACAGACGGAAACGACUGCUAAUACCGAAUAAGUUCCAAGAGCCGCAUGGCCCAUGGAAGAAAAGGUGGCCUCUACCUGUAAGCUAUCGCCUGAAGAGGGGUUUGCGUCUGAUUAGCUGGUUGGAGGGGUAACGGCCCACCAAGGCGACGAUCAGUAGCCGGUCUGAGAGGAUGAACGGCCACACUGGAACUGAGACACGGUCCAGACUCCUACGGGAGGCAGCAGUGGGGAAUCUUCCGCAAUGGGCGAAAGCCUGACGGAGCAACGCCGCGUGAGUGAUGACGGCCUUCGGGUUGUAAAACUCUGUGAUCCGGGACGAAAAGGCAGAGUGCGAAGAACAAACUGCAUUGACGGUACCGGAAAAGCAAGCCACGGCUAACUACGUGCCAGCAGCCGCGGUAAUACGUAGGUGGCAAGCGUUGUCCGGAAUUAUUGGGCGUAAAGCGCGCGCAGGUGGCUUCCCAAGUCCCUCUUAAAAGUGCGGGGCUUAACCCCGUGAUGGGAAGGAAACUGGGAAGCUGGAGUAUCGGAGAGGAAAGUGGAAUUCCUAGUGUAGCGGUGAAAUGCGUAGAGAUUAGGAAGAACACCGGUGGCGAAGGCGACUUUCUGGACGAAAACUGACGCUGAGGCGCGAAAGCGUGGGGAGCAAACAGGAUUAGAUACCCUGGUAGUCC